This is a non-coding RNA of Paramuricea clavata, 728 nucleotides long. The record is from the annotation of a GenBank genome assembly. NCBI's taxonomy places the organism in Eukaryota, Metazoa, Cnidaria, Anthozoa, Malacalcyonacea, Plexauridae.
UUUUUUCGAAAUCCAUAUUGGAGAGGAGAGAGAAUUUCGAAUUGAUUCACGAAAUCAAUAAUGCAAUCGAUUAUAUGCAUGACUUUUUCAAAAAUUUUCAAUUGAUAGCGAGAUUGGUCUUAAUUUGUAAAAUUUUCAGGAUUAUCGGUCUUAAAUACAGGAAUUACCUUAGCUAUUUUUAGUAAAUCAGGGUGAAUGCCAAUUGAAAGCGAAAGAUUGAUAAUUUGGGUAAGAGGUUGAGCUAUAAAUUCAAAUGAUUUUUUUAUUACAUUCAUGGCUAUAUUAUAAGAACCAGCUGUUUUAUACAUUUAUAAAAUAGGAAUCUAUUUAAGAACCUGAGUUUAGCUUAAUUUCCUGGUAAGCACCAUGGGCCGGUUGUACGAAAGGCGUUUAAGUCGCUAUCCACCGUUUAACUCGCUAUCCGCCGGAUAAAAUUAGCGUUAUCCACCGGUUAAAUUUUGCCUAUCCACCGUGUAAACUUAAAACUUAAGGAGGCUCCCUACAGUUCCAUGCGGGAUGUUUGCGGGACAAGUACGUGAACUAUCCCACGCAACUGCAUGAUCAAAACAAAACAAAAAUUGACAAUGGAAAAAAGCGUUGAAUAAUACUUCGUUUUGAGUGCGAAAUCACUUGCGAGUCUAUACAGCAAUUCUACAUAUGAUACGAGUAUCAGUAGACCAAAAAAUAGCUACGAAACAAUAUUUUUAAAUUUUUUUAUACACUGUCCG